GCGGCCUAUCAGCUUGUUGGUGAGGUAAUGGCUCACCAAGGCGACGACGGGUAGCCGGCCUGAGAGGGUGACCGGCCACACUGGAACUGAGACACGGUCCAGACUCCUACGGGAGGCAGCAGCGGGGAAUAUUGCACAAUGGGCGAAAGCCUGAUGCAGCAACGCCGCGUGAGGGAUGAAGGCCUUCGGGUUGUAAACCUCUUUUAGGAGGGAAGAAGCGAAAGUGACGGUACCUGCAGAAAAAGCACCGGCUAACUACGUGCCAGCAGCCGCGGUAAUACGUAGGGUGCAAGCGUUGUCCGGAAUUAUUGGGCGUAAAGAGCUCGUAGGCGGUUUGUCGCGUCUGCUGUGAAAAUCCGAGGCUCAACCUCGGACCUGCAGUGGGUACGGGCAAACUAGAGUGCGGUAGGGGAGACUGGAAUUCCU
RNAcentral lists this ribosomal RNA (426 nucleotides) under uncultured Actinomycetes bacterium. RNAcentral's name for it is "bacterial SSU rRNA". It matches the Rfam family "Bacterial small subunit ribosomal RNA", at positions 233 to 671 of the family's 1533-position model. The record is from RNAcentral. Lineage: Bacteria; Bacillati; Actinomycetota; Actinomycetes.